UACGGAGGAUGCGAGCGUUAUCCGGAUUUAUUGGGUUUAAAGGGUGCGCAGGCGGCGAGUUAAGUCAGCGGUAAAAUUUCGGGGCUCAACCCCGACAAGCCGUUGAAACUGGCUUGCUAGAGUGGGCGAGAAGUACGCGGAAUGCGCGGUGUAGCGGUGAAAUGCUUAGAUAUCGCGCAGAACCCCGAUUGCGAAGGCAGCGUACCGGCUCCACACUGACGCUGAGGCACGAAAGCGUGGGUAUCGAACAGG
RNAcentral lists this ribosomal RNA (252 nucleotides) under uncultured Bacteroidales bacterium. RNAcentral's name for it is "partial 16S ribosomal RNA". It matches the Rfam family "Bacterial small subunit ribosomal RNA", at positions 524 to 776 of the family's 1533-position model. Lineage: Bacteria; Pseudomonadati; Bacteroidota; Bacteroidia; Bacteroidales. The record is from RNAcentral.